UGUGCUUGUAUCUCACUGAACAGGGUCCGUCUGGCUGCUGGGUUCCCACCAAAUGCAAAGGGCUCUGCAAGAACCAGAUGCAAAUAUUUAUCAAGUGCAGUGACCACAUAAAUAAAAUGCGCAAUGCUGGUGCAUUCAUAGCCACAGUGGCCUUGUUUGGAGGCGGACCGGGGAGGAGGAAUAUCGGGUGAAUCGAAGUGAAUGAAUUAAAGCGCGGAGGGCAAGGCGCUUCCUGGCUUUCUGUAAUAUUGCGGCUGCGGAGCUCACACACUUCAAGAACAUGUCUGGAAGUUGGGAUCCGUAUUCAAAUCCUUCGUCAUACGUUGUGAACUUCUCCAGGAACUCCUGCCUGGUGAGAGCGCUAUUAGGGGAGU
Molecule: long non-coding RNA, 374 nt
Organism: Puntigrus tetrazona (Sumatra barb)
Lineage: Eukaryota; Metazoa; Chordata; Actinopteri; Cypriniformes; Cyprinidae
Exons: 3
Source: RefSeq, a predicted model, not a curated record